UGAACUUUUGAAAAAAAGUCUUUGGGCUCAAG
This 32-nucleotide non-coding RNA is filed under the name Rattus norvegicus (Norway rat). Lineage: Eukaryota; Metazoa; Chordata; Mammalia; Rodentia; Muridae. The record is from RNAcentral.